Molecule: long non-coding RNA, 1506 nt
Organism: Anopheles coustani
Lineage: Eukaryota; Metazoa; Arthropoda; Insecta; Diptera; Culicidae
Exons: 3
Source: RefSeq, a predicted model, not a curated record
AGUUUUGCAAUGCGGACGUGCGGUAGUUUUUAGUUUCCUGUUGAAAUUCUACCCUUUCCUGGUUUAAUUUUCCGACUUAGUGUGUAGUUCGAGGGAGUCUCAGUCCCUGAAAAAACAGAAGAGUGCAAAUAAUCAAUUUUUACUGAAGUAAUGGUGCUGGUUUAGAUUGUGAGCAGCUCGUCCCGGAACGGUUGGUGUGCCCUACAGGAAGCAGGAAGAAAAGAAACAGGAACUUCGGAACGGGCACGGAGACGGGUCGAUAGCGAGUUUAACAAAACGAAUCCCCGACCGAAAAGCCAGCUGCUAACGUGCGUGAAUCUGCGUCAGUGUGUUUUGCGUGAUCGGUGUGAAGAUAGUGACUGAAAAGAGCGAUAGAGAAGAAAAAACCGUGCCGAGGGAAAACCGUCCCUUUUUUCCACACCACACCACCCUUGCGGUAGCGUGCUUAUGAAACAAAAGUUAUGUGAAAAAAAAACGGGGGAAAAUUUGUCGAAUCGCAAGGAAAAGUUGGUGGAAUUUAAACGUAAAAAAGCGAGAGUGUUCGAAUCGAAAGAGUUAACGUGUUGAAGUGUGAAUAAAGCGGAAGUUUGUUCUGCUAAAAUCAAACCCGCCCAACCCUCCCCCCCCCCACGGAAAAAGUGCCAAGUGGAAAAAAUUAAAGGAGAAAAAAAUUGUGUAGUAAAACGGUGCACGAAUAGGAAAAAAAAGUUGUUACAAAAAAUAGAAAUACUGAAGGUAAACCCAACGAAGAAGUGAAGCUGCUGGUUUUCCCCACCAUACGAGUUCGAAGUGUGUGGUUUAUUUUUUUUUGUUUCAUUGAUUUCAUCGCUGGCCUUAGGUGUGCCCUUCGUUUCGGUUCAGCGUCCCCUUUGUCUCCCGCCGGUGUCGAUUGAUUUAGCGUUAUAAUCCUGCUCGACGUCAAUCACAGCUUCACUUGUUCGCGGUACGGAACGAAUCGCAGAUUGUGCUAGCGAAAAGUUCUUCGGGAAAACUCACCGUCAUCGCUGUGGGUACGAGGAAACGUGCCUACGAGGAGAUAGAUUUAAAGGUCACUGUAGCGUUUGGGAAAUUUUGUAAAGUGCCAGUUCAAACGCGGUGUGAGUGUGCAAUGUUGAAUGUGUGCCGAAAUAAUGGCAAACGUAUAAUCCCUCAGUGACGAGGCGAGGGUGAAAGAGUAAAAGCGGCGUGCGCAGUGUCCUGUUUCCCUUAGCUCUUCCUGCGGCGCGAGUCUUUUAGCGCGUCGUUAAGCCUAACACUUCGUUUUCCCGACCCCUUUUUCCCCUGUUGGUCCCCUGGUGCGUACAUCGGAGCGGAGGAAAAAUCCAGCGUUUAUGACCGCGACAAGUGUCCGCGACUUAGUGAGCAACUUUCCAUCGCCAGCCCGCCGCAACCGGUGCUGCUGCCUUCCGCCGUGCCGCCCGGCCACCAGCUAGGACCUCCUCGGCACGCACAAAAUGGCGAUCCUCACCGCAGCGACGCCAGCGCGGCCCGCGCCCCUUCCCAGCG